Molecule: unclassified non-coding RNA, 299 nt
Filed under: Athalia rosae (coleseed sawfly)
Lineage: Eukaryota; Metazoa; Arthropoda; Insecta; Hymenoptera; Athaliidae
Description: misc RNA ENSAEAG00005011647.1
Source: RNAcentral
ACACGGCGAAUUAUAGAAUAACAAAAUAUCUAUAUAUAAAUAAAAUCCCAGUGUCCCGAUUAACGUGGAAAUAUACAUGUAUUUAAACACAUUCAUAGGUGUACUAUAACGUAGAGUAGAAUCGCGCGAUUUUAUCUAGGAAUGCAACCACCAUGUUCAUAAAAAAAACCUUGAAUUUACAUAUCCAGCCGCCAGAGCUUAUACCCGAAAAGAAGAACGUACUUUCUUCGAGAACGUCACGUCUGCACGCCCCGGCGCGGUUCACCGGCGUCCCGACGCUCUUCCCGUUUCAACCGCCU